This 1372-nucleotide ribosomal RNA is filed under the name metagenome. Its description in RNAcentral is "bacterial SSU rRNA". It matches the Rfam family "Bacterial small subunit ribosomal RNA". The record is from RNAcentral.
GCUCAGAUUGAACGCGGCGGCAGGCCUAACACAUGCAAGUCGAGCGGAUGAAGGGAGCUUGCUCCUGGAUUCAGCGGCGGACGGGUGAGUAAUGCCUAGAAUCUGCCUGGUAGUGGGGAUAACGUCCGGAAACGGGCGCUAAUACCGCAUACGUCCUGAGGGAGAAAGUGGGGAUCUUCGGACCUCACGCUAUCAGAUGAGCCUAGGUCGGAUUAGCUAGUUGGUGGGGUAGGCCUACCAAGGCGACGAUCCGUAACUGGUCUGAGAGGAUGAUCAGUCACACUGGAACUGAGACACGGUCCAGACUCCUACGGAGGCAGCAGUGGGGAAUAUUGGACAAUGGGCGAAAAGCCUGAUCCAGCCAUGCCGCGUGUGAAGAAGGUCUUCGGAUUGUAAGCACUUUAAGUUGGGAGGAAGGCAGUAAGUUAAUACCUUGCUGUUUUGACGUUACCAACAGAAUAAGCACCGGCUAACCGUGCCAGCAGCCGCGGUAAUACGAAGGUGCAAGCGUUAAUCGGAAUUACUGGGCGUAAAGCGCGUAGGUGGUUCAGCAGUUGGAUGAAACCCUCACGCAACCUGGGAACUGCAUCCAACCAUGUGAGCCAUGCGUAGAUAAGGAAGAACACCAGUGACCAACUGAUCUGCAGCGGAAAAUGCGUAGAUAGUCCACGCCGUAAACGAUGUCGAUAGCCGUUGGGAUCCUUGAGAUCUUAGUGGCGCAGCUAACGCGAUAAGUCGACCGCCUGGGGGUACGGCCGCAAGGUUAAAACUCAAAUGAAUUGACGGGGGCCCGCACAAGCGGUGGAGCAUGUGGUUUAAUUCGAAGCAACGCGAAGAACCUUACCUGGCCUUGACAUGCUAGAACUUUCCAGAGAUGGAUUGGUGCCUUCGGGAACAGACACAGGUGCUGCAUGGCUGUCGUCAGCUCGUGUCGUGAGAUGUUGGGUUAAGUCCGUAACGAGCGCAACCCUUGUCCUAGGUUACCAGCACCUCGGUGGGCACUCUAAGGAGACUGCCGGUGACAAACCGGAGGAAGGUGGGGAUGACGCUGUCAUCAUGGCCCUUACGGCCAGGGCUACACGUGCUACAAUGGUCGCAAGGGUUGCCAAGCCGCGAGGUGGAGCUAAUCCCAUAAAACCGAUCGUAGUCCGGAUCAGUCUGCAACUGACGCGCGAAGUCGGAAUCGCUAGUAAUCGUGAAUCAGAAUGUCACGGUGAAUACGUUCCCGGGCCUUGUACACACCGCCCGUCACACCAUGGGAGUGGGUUGCUCCAGAAGUAGCUAGUCUAACCGCAAGGGGGACGGUUACCACGAGUGAUUCAUGACUGGGUGAAGUCGUAACAAGAGUAGCCGUAGGGGAACCUGCGGGCUG